This 466-nucleotide ribosomal RNA is filed under the name uncultured bacterium. RNAcentral's name for it is "partial 16S ribosomal RNA". It matches the Rfam family "Bacterial small subunit ribosomal RNA", at positions 29 to 507 of the family's 1533-position model. The record is from RNAcentral.
AUGAACGCUGACAGAAUGCUUCACACAUGCCAGUCACCUUGAAUUUGGGUUUUUAACUUCGGUUUGGGUGGCGGACGGGUGAGUAACGCGUAAAGAACUUGCCUCACAGCUAGGGACAACAUUUGGAAACGAAUGCUAAUACCUAAUAUUAUGAUAAUAGGGCAUCCUAUAAUUAUGAAAGCUAUAAGCGCUGUGAGAGAGCUUUGCGUCCCAUUAGCUAGUUGGAGAGGUAACGGCUCACCAAGGCGAUGAUGGGUAGCCGGCCUGAGAGGGUGAUCGGCCACAAGGGGACUGAGACACGGCCCUUACUCCUACGGGAGGCAGCAGUGGGGAAUAUUGGACAAUGGACCGAGAGUCUGAUCCAGCAAUUCUGUGUGCACGAUGAAGUUUUUCGGAAUGUAAAGUGCUUUCAGUUGGGAAGAAACAAAUGACGGUACCAACAGAAGAAGUGACGGCUAAAUACGUG